GACGAACGCUGGCGGCGUGCCUAAUACAUGCAAGUAGAACGCACAGUUUAUACCGUAGCUUGCUACACCAUAAACUGUGAGUUGCGAACGGGUGAGUAACGCGUAGGUAACCUGCCUGGUAGCGGGGGAUAACUAUUGGAAACGAUAGCUAAUACCGCAUAAUAUUGAUUAUUGCAUGAUAAUUGAUUGAAAGAUGCUAUUGCAUCACUACCAGAUGGACCUGCGUUGUAUUAGCUAGUAGGUGAGGUAACGGCUCACCUAGGCGACGAUACAUAGCCGACCUGAGAGGGUGAUCGGCCACACUGGGACUGAGACACGGCCCAGACUCCUACGGGAGGCAGCAGUAGGGAAUCGUCGGCAAUGGACGAAAGUCUGACCGAGCAACGCCGCGUGAGUGAAGAAGGUUUUCGGAUCGUAAAGCUCGGUUGUAAGAGAAGAACGGGUGUGAGAGUGGAAAGUUCACACUGUGACGGUAUCUUACCAGAAAGGGACGGCUAACUACGUG
RNAcentral lists this ribosomal RNA (505 nucleotides) under uncultured bacterium. RNAcentral's name for it is "partial 16S ribosomal RNA". It matches the Rfam family "Bacterial small subunit ribosomal RNA", at positions 28 to 507 of the family's 1533-position model. The record is from RNAcentral.